RNAcentral lists this ribosomal RNA (349 nucleotides) under Spinomantis aglavei. RNAcentral's name for it is "partial 16S ribosomal RNA". It matches the Rfam family "Bacterial large subunit ribosomal RNA", at positions 2019 to 2535 of the family's 2925-position model. Lineage: Eukaryota; Metazoa; Chordata; Amphibia; Anura; Mantellidae. The record is from RNAcentral.
UCUCCUCCCCCCAAUCAAUGAAACUGAUCUCUCCGUGAAGAAGCGGAGAUUCAACUAUAAGACGAGAAGACCCCAUGGAGCUUUAAACCUGACUACACCCUUAUUCAUUAUACCUCCUUAAUCAACAGGACCCUGUCUGUCAGUUUUAGGUUGGGGUGACCACGGAGUACAAAUAAACCUCCACGAUGAACCGGACUAAUCCGUUAUCUAAGAUAAACACCUCAAAGAAUUAGCAUACUAACAUAAAAUGAUCCGACACUCGAUCAACGAACCAAGUUACCCUGGGGAUAACAGCGCAAUCUACUUCAAGAGUCCAUAUCGACAAGUAGGUUUACGACCUCGAUGUUGG